UACGUAGGGUGCAAGCGUUAAUCGGAAUUACUGGGCGUAAAGCGUGCGCAGGCGGUUGUGGAAGGCAGAUGUGAAAUCCCCGGGCUCAACCUGGGAACUGCAUUUGUGACUGCACAGCUGGAGUGCGGCAGAGGGGGAUGGAAUUCCGCGUGUAGCAGUGAAAUGCGUAGAUAUGCGGAGGAACACCGAUGGCGAAGGCAAUCCCCUGGGCCUGCACUGACGCUCAUGCACGAAAGCGUGGGGAGCAAACAGG
RNAcentral lists this ribosomal RNA (253 nucleotides) under uncultured bacterium. RNAcentral's name for it is "partial 16S ribosomal RNA". It matches the Rfam family "Bacterial small subunit ribosomal RNA", at positions 524 to 776 of the family's 1533-position model. The record is from RNAcentral.